Long non-coding RNA from Astatotilapia calliptera (eastern happy), 330 nucleotides. Lineage: Eukaryota; Metazoa; Chordata; Actinopteri; Cichliformes; Cichlidae. The record is from Ensembl.
CUGUUAUGAUAUUUUGAUACCACGCUUUUCCCCUCCACAGUUCCACCAGUGGAGACAAGGAGACGCAUGUUGGAGAAGCCACUAAAACCAAGGACACUCUGGGAGGCCGCGUUUUCCAGCCCCCAGGCUUUACUGGCAGUGACGAAGAACCAGCAUCCUCACAGACGGACAACCUCAGUGGAUUCAUGCCAGCAGGGUUAAGACCAGCCCAAUCGGACCAUCUCAGGCGUCGGAUCAAGCAGACGACAUCUCCGGCGAGCCAGCGCCCGGAACUAGAGCAAAUAAACACACGGGUAGACGACAUCUCAGGCGAGCCAGCGCCCGGAUCCA